GCCAGUGUGGAGUAGUGGGUUGGGUGCUGGACUAUGACUCUGGAGACCAGGAUUCGAUUCCCUGCUUGGGCA
Phrynosoma platyrhinos (Desert horned lizard) is the source of this 72-nucleotide non-coding RNA. The record is from the annotation of a GenBank genome assembly. Lineage: Eukaryota; Metazoa; Chordata; Lepidosauria; Squamata; Phrynosomatidae.